RNAcentral lists this long non-coding RNA (422 nucleotides) under Ananas comosus (pineapple). RNAcentral describes it as "long non-coding RNA (ACOM_LNC019474)". The record is from RNAcentral. Lineage: Eukaryota; Viridiplantae; Streptophyta; Magnoliopsida; Poales; Bromeliaceae.
AGUGUAUGUAUUGGAAUCCAACAAAUUAAUUUGAUCAGAUGGUUUGAUCAAUUCUAAAUAUAGGUUUAGAAUUUGAUCAAGUUUGAACAUGAUUGUGAUUUGACUCUAGUUUUAUAUGCUAGAGAAUCGAAUAUUUUGGGAAUUGGGAUGUUCGUGAAAAUUGAACUUGAGUUUAGUUUAACGACAUUUCGGUCGAUAUCGGAUUUAGGUUUAGUUUAACGACGUUUCGGUCGAUUGAUUUGGUGGAUUAGUUUAACGACGUUUCGGUCGAUGGUUUGGGUUUGGUUCACAAGGUUUAUGGUAUUGGGUAUAUGGGAUUAUGGUUCAUGAACUUAGAUAUGGUUCAUGGGUUUAUGGUUCAUGGACUUAUGGUUCAUGGGUUUAUGGUUCAUGGACUUAUGGUUCAUGGGUUUAUGGUUCAU